Molecule: ribosomal RNA, 781 nt
Filed under: uncultured Gammaproteobacteria bacterium
Lineage: Bacteria; Pseudomonadati; Pseudomonadota; Gammaproteobacteria
Description: bacterial SSU rRNA
Rfam family: Bacterial small subunit ribosomal RNA
Source: RNAcentral
UGCAAGUCGUGCGAGAAAGCCCUUCGGGGCGAGUACAGCGGCGGACGGGUGAGUAACGCGUAGGAAUCUACCUAGUAGUGGGGGACAACUCGUGGAAACGCGAGCUAACACCGCAUACGCCCUACGGGGGAAAGCGGGGGAUCUUCGGACCUCGUGCUAUUAGAUGAGCCUGCGUAAGAUUAGCUAGUUGGUGGGGUAAUGGCCUACCAAGGCGACGAUCUUUAGCUGGUCUGAGAGGAUGAUCAGCCACACCGGGACUGAGACACGGCCCGGACUCCUACGGGAGGUAGCAGUCGGGAAUAUUGCGCAAUGGGCGAAAGCCUGACGCAGCCAUGCCGCGUGUGUGAAGAAGGCCCUAGGGUUGUAAAGCACUUUCAAUUGGGAGGAAAAGCUAAUGGUUAAUAGCCAUUAGCCCUGACGUUACCUUUAGAAGAAGCACCGGCUAACUCCGUGCCAGCAGCCGCGGUAAUACGGAGGGUGCAAGCGUUAAUCGGAAUUACUGGGCGUAAAGCGCGCGUAGGCGGUUUUUUAAGUCGGAUGUGAAAGCCCCGGGCUCAACCUGGGAAUUGCAUCCGAUACUGGAUGACUAGAAUGCGGGAGAGGGAGGUAGAAUUCCAUGUGUAGCAGUGAAAUGCGUAGAUAUAUGGAGGAAUACCAGUGGCGAAGGCGGCCUCCUGGCUCGACAUUGACGCUGAGGUGCGAAAGCGUGGGGAGCAAACGGGAUUAGAUACCCCGGUAGUCCACGCCGUAAACGAUGUCUACUAGCUGUAGGGGUACUUGA